GCGCGAAAACUUUACAAUGCGGGAAACCGCGAUAAGGGGACACCGAGUGCCAGCAUCCUAUGUUGGCUGUCCAUAUGUAUAAAUAACAUGUGUUAGCAAGGGCCGGGCAAGACCGGUGCCAGCCGCCGCGGUAACACCGGCGGCCCGAGUGGUGGCCACUAUUAUUGGGUCUAAAGGGUCCGUAGCCGGUUUGGUCAGUCUUCCGGGAAAUCUGACGGCUUAACCGUUAGGCUUUCGGGGGAUACUGCCAGGCUUGGGACCGGGAGAGGUAAGAGGUACUACGGGGGUAGGAGUGAAAUCUUGUAAUCCCUGUGGGACCACCAGUGGCGAAGGCGUCUUACCAGAACGGGUCCGACGGUGAGGGACGAAAGCUGGGGGCACGAACCGGAUUAGAUACCCGGGUAGUCCCAGCCGUAAACUAUGCUCGCUAGGUGUCAGGGACGGUGCGACCGUUUCUGGUGCCGUAGGGAAGCCGUGAAGCGAGCCACCUGGGAAGUACGGUCGCAAGGCUGAAACUUAAAGGAAUUGGCGGGGGAGCACUACAACGGGUGGAGCCUGCGGUUUAAUUGGACUCG
This 575-nucleotide ribosomal RNA is filed under the name uncultured Methanosarcinales archaeon. RNAcentral's name for it is "bacterial SSU rRNA". It matches the Rfam family "Archaeal small subunit ribosomal RNA", at positions 339 to 914 of the family's 1478-position model. The record is from RNAcentral. Lineage: Archaea; Methanobacteriati; Methanobacteriota; Methanomicrobia; Methanosarcinales.